AACGAACGUUGGCGGCGUGCCUAACACAUGCAAGUCGAGCGCGGGCAGGACUUCGGUCCUGUUCCGAGCGGCGCACGGGUGAGUAACACGUGAGUAACCUGCCUCGAAGUUUGGGAUAACCGCCCGAAAGGGUGGCUAAUACCGGAUAAGCCCCCACUGGCACAGGCCAGAGAGGGAAAAGACCUUGGCGCUUCGAGAUGGGCGUCGCGUCCCAUUAGUCUAGUUGGUGAGGUAACGGCUCACCAAGGCGAAGAUGGGUAGCUGGUCGUGAGAGGAUGAUCAGCCACACUGGAACUGAGACACGGUCCAGACUCCUACGGGAGGCAGCAGUGGGGAAUAUUGCGCAAUGGGCGAAAGCCUGACGCAGCAACGCCGCGUGGGUGAAGAAGGUCUUCGGAUCGUAAAGCCCUGUCAGGAGGGACGAAACAAAUGACGGUACCUCCAAAGGAAGCACUGGCUAACUCCGUGCCAGCAGCCGCGGUAAAGUCAC
Molecule: ribosomal RNA, 490 nt
Filed under: uncultured bacterium
Lineage: Bacteria
Description: bacterial SSU rRNA
Rfam family: Bacterial small subunit ribosomal RNA
Source: RNAcentral